CCUGCUGGUCACUACAGAGAAGUAGAGUCAUUUCCUCAUAGACGUCUAUGGGAGCAGAGGAGUCGCCCCCUGCUGGUCACUACAGAGAAUGCAGGUUCAAGGAUCUGCAGCAGUGACCUUUGAGAAUCGGGGGUUAACGCCGGUCUGCACAGUUGAAUUGCUUAAAGGACGGCAGCAACAUAAAAAGUACCGUUAUAACAUCACAUACAAAGUUUUGGAGUAAAAGCAAAGCUUCACCCUUCAAUGACCCCGUUGGGUUUUUUAGCACUGUUUCAUCUUGUGAGAUCUCAAGCACUGGUUCUGCCUUUUUUCUUUUCUACCUUUGAUGUUAACAAGCUGUGCUAUUUGCCAUGGAAACCAGGGUGAAUAUAAAAGGAGAAACCAGACGCACUGCGCGAAUUAACUCAACGUCAGACGGAGGGAAAACAGCAACAUAAAACGGGGAAAGUACAAUCAUAAUUCGUACAGAUAAAUAAAUAAAGGCACACUACUGAAUCUAAAGUCCAGGUGUGUAACAUUACAUCUGUGUUAUGGGACAUUGUGAAGGCUGUUUAACCGCUACGAGAGAUGGAUGCACAUCCAGAAGGAACUUUGUGUUGAUAAGAUGCUGAGGAGGCUUUGUUCACAGAGCACAGUUCAUUAUAAUCCAACAGGGGUAAACAGACAUUAAAUGGGCCUGCAGAAUCAUAUCUCCACUCACAGCAUAUUCAAGCCUGGAGGCGACGUGAGGACAAAGGACCUUAAUUACAUGAAGCUGACACAAGGGCCGACGCACAGAGCCAAACACACACACACACACACGCACAGCAUUAAUACAUGAGCGCACUCAGUGUGUGAAUCCCAACAUACAGAUACUAAGAGAAACAAUUAGCUCAUUGUUCGCUAUUUCUGUUUAGUUUUGAAAGCAGGCAAAAGAAUUCAUAUUUUUCUCUCCAUUUAAAUGUUAUUCCCAUGUUAAAUGUUUGGUUCUCUUUGUUUUCUUCCUGAGCAAUGAGGCAUUCACCCGGCCACGCAGCCUCUGGAGCGAAUCAUCCUCUCUGAGAACUAAACAAAUUCGCUUGGAUACAAAAUAAAGUCUUGUAAUUAGCAGAGUUCCCUCUAUGAUGUUUAACUUCAGACCAUUGCUGACUUCCUCAUCAGUCCCAGAUGUGCUGGAGCAGCAGGAGCAGGAGGAGGAGGUGCUGGCGGGUGGAGGAGGGAGGGAGACGGACUCGAUAUCCCUCUCCGUCCAUCCCAAUAAUGCUCCUUUGCGUCUGGGCGAAGCGUCCGUGGGAAACGCGAAGCUCGCCGGCUCCCUCGCGACCUUGCUGCCGGUGUCAAGGUCGGACGAUUACAAGGCGGUUUGUGUUUUCGCGCCGCAGGAGAUUAAACGCUUAGCCCCCCCCCCACACUUUCCUCCCCCCGUCUUGCCCUCUCCCAUUUUGCUCAAAAAAAAGACUACAUGAACAGCAGCCGUCCCAAACAACACAGACAAUGGCGCCUGAUUCCCGUCCACAAAGCGCCAGCCGGCUGACAUUUAGCCGAGUCCCACGUCGAGGCUGAAGAGGGCUCAACGUGGCGUCCGGUGAUCCUCGCCGGCGAGCCGCAGGCCGCUUAUCGACCGCCGCGUGUCUGUCUUUGUAUUCAGCGUCCUCUGCGUCUUUUCUCCACUCUUUGUUUCGCUGUGCUUGUGUCUUCGGGGGGAAAUGUCCAACUAAAAGUUUAAAAUCCAGCGAGGUACACAAUGUGCACAAGCCCAGCGCACACAGACACACACACACAUACGCAAUCUGCAUGCACACAAUCCCUCUGCAGGGCACAGACACACACACACAAUCUGCAUGCACACAAUCCCUCUGCAGGGCACAGACACACACACACAAUCUGCAUGCACACAAGCCCACUGCAGGGCACAGACACACACACACAAUCUGCAUGCACACGAGCCCUCUGCAGGGCACACACACACACA
Molecule: long non-coding RNA, 1951 nt
Organism: Gasterosteus aculeatus aculeatus (three-spined stickleback)
Lineage: Eukaryota; Metazoa; Chordata; Actinopteri; Perciformes; Gasterosteidae
Source: Ensembl